AAAGCGGUUUGUCGUCCCCCAAAACGCUGGGUGCUUUAGGCCAAAGAGGGAAGGAGAGCGCUGCAUAACGUGGAUAUUAACUUACAGUCCAUUGAAAACAAAGCUUAAAAUACAUAAUAUCGUCUGGCAUCGAUGAAGGUGUUCAUCGACACCUGCACGACUCUAUACAGGUGUGGUAAAGGUGGCCUGUAAGGACAAGAGCUGUGGAGGUCAGAACGGACAGGAAGCGGCUGUUUGUUUGUCUGGACACUUGUUUGUGAGUCUGGCCAUUAUCCUCCUCAUUAAUUCUGAUGUUAAAUAGCCUAGCUCAAGAUUGGGAAGGUUAUACUGACCUCACACUUCUCCAUAACAGUAUGUUUGAAUUAUUUUAGCCCUCACAGUGGCCGACUUCAACUCUUUGUUAGGGCGGCAAUCAUGUUUACACCCUAAACAACAAGGGAUUUGCCACACUAGUGGCUUUUAUCCUCCAAGAUGUUUUGUUUGAAUGCUGCUUGAUUUUUUUUGUCAUUUGUUGAACACUAUCCGGCUUGAUUUAAG
This is a long non-coding RNA of Cyprinus carpio (common carp), 537 nucleotides long. NCBI's taxonomy places the organism in Eukaryota, Metazoa, Chordata, Actinopteri, Cypriniformes, Cyprinidae. The record is from Ensembl.